RNAcentral lists this ribosomal RNA (784 nucleotides) under uncultured bacterium. RNAcentral's name for it is "bacterial SSU rRNA". It matches the Rfam family "Bacterial small subunit ribosomal RNA", at positions 95 to 909 of the family's 1533-position model. The record is from RNAcentral.
GCGGCGGACGGCUGAGUAACGCGUGGGAACAUGCCCCAAAGUGAGGAAUAACUGCCCGAAAGGGUAGCUAAUGCCGCAUAUGAUCUUCGGAUUAAAGGAUUUAUCCGCUUUGGGAGUGGCCCGCGUACGAUUAGGUAGUUGGUGAGGUAAAGGCUCACCAAGCCCACGAUCGUUAACUGGUCUGAGAGGAUGAUCAGUCAGACUGGAACUGAGACACGGUCCAGACUCCUACGGGAGGCAGCAGUGAGGAAUCUUCCACAAUGGGCGAAAGCCUGAUGGAGCGACGCCGCGUGCAGGAUGAAGGCCUUCGGGUUGUAAACUGCUUUUAUAAGUGAAGAAUAUGACGGUAACUUAUGAAUAAGCACCGGCUAACUACGUGCCAGCAGCCGCGGUCAUACGUAGGGUGCAAGCAUUAUCCGGAGUGACUGGGCGUAAAGAGUUGCGUAGGUGGACAAGUAAGCGAAUAGUGAAAUGUGGCGGCUCAACCGUACACACCAUUAUUCGAACUGCUUGUCUCGAGAAUGGUAGAGGUAACUGGAAUUUCUAGUGUAGGAGUGAAAUCCGUAGAUAUUAGAAGGAACACCAAUGGCGUAGGCAGGUUACUGGACCAUUUCUGACACUAAGGCACGAAAGCGUGGGGAGCGAACCGGAUUAGAUACCCGGGUAGUCCACGCCGUAAACUAUGGAUACUAGCUGUUGGAGGUAUCGACCCCUUCAGUAGCGAAGCUAACGCGUUAAGUAUCCCGCCUGUGGAGUACGGUCGCAAGACUAAAACAUAAAGGAA